AAUACCACAACCUGAACCCAUACCUACACCACAACCAGAUCCAACUCCAGAACCAGAGCCAAAGCCAACACCACAGCCAGACCCAGAGCCAGGACCUAAGCCAUUACCACACCCGGAACCCUUACCCACACCAGAACCACUUCCAAAUCCACAACUAGAGCCAGAACCCAACCCAUUGCCACAGCCUAAACCCUUACCCACACCAGAACCACUUCCAAAUCCACAACCAGACCCAGAGCCAGAACCCAAGCCAUUGCCACAACCUGAACCCUUACCCACACCAGAACCACUUCCAAAUCCACAACCAGACCCAGAGCCAGAACCCAAGCCAUGGCCACAGC
RNAcentral lists this long non-coding RNA (341 nucleotides) under Sorghum bicolor (sorghum). RNAcentral describes it as "long non-coding RNA (SBIC_LNC001864)". The record is from RNAcentral. Lineage: Eukaryota; Viridiplantae; Streptophyta; Magnoliopsida; Poales; Poaceae.